CAGUCGCCGCGGGAAUACGGAGGGUGCAAGCGUUAAUCGGAAUUACUGGGCGUAAAGCGUGCGUAGGCGGUUCGUUAAGUCUGUUGUGAAAGCCCCGGGCUCAACCUGGGAAUGGCAAUGGAUACUGGCGAGCUAGAGUGUGUCAGAGGAUGGUGGGAUUCCCGGUGUAGCGGUGAAAUGCGUAGAGAUCGGGAGGAACAUCAGUGGCGAAGGCGGCCAUCUGGGACAACACUGACGCUGAGGCACGAAAGCGUGGGGAGCAAACAGGAUUAGAUACCCGCGUAGUCCCUGUCUCUUAACA
This 301-nucleotide ribosomal RNA is filed under the name uncultured bacterium. RNAcentral's name for it is "partial 16S ribosomal RNA". It matches the Rfam family "Bacterial small subunit ribosomal RNA", at positions 509 to 808 of the family's 1533-position model. The record is from RNAcentral.